Passer domesticus (house sparrow) is the source of this 189-nucleotide long non-coding RNA. RefSeq lists it as uncharacterized. The record is from RefSeq and is a predicted model, not a curated record. The transcript has 3 exons. NCBI's taxonomy places the organism in Eukaryota, Metazoa, Chordata, Aves, Passeriformes, Passeridae.
AGGCAGAGAUAUCCUUGGAGACAGUUUGUGGGGAACCAAGAUUGACUACUUAAAAAAAGUUUCCACUGUGCAAAAGGAUUUUCUUUCACAUGCUCCUUCAGAUGUGCAGAGCAAGCAGCAGGAGAAGUCCUUGGUGCCAUCUAUCCUUGCAAUAAAUUGCCCAAAGGAGAACUGCAGUGCAUAAAUCUA